AUUGAACGCUGGCGGCAUGCUUUACACAUGCAAGUCGAACGGCAGCGAGGAGAAGCUUGCUUCUCUGUCGGCGAGUGGCGAACGGGUGAGUAUAGCAUCGGAACGUGCCAAGUAGUGGGGGAUAACCAAACGAAAGUUUGGCUAAUACCGCGUAAGCUCUAAGGAGGAAAGUAGGGGACCUAAAUAAGGCCUUACGCUAUUUGAUCGGCCGAUGUCGGAUUAGCUAGUUGGUGGGGUAAUGGCUCACCAAGGCAAUGAUCCGUAGCGGGUCUGAGAGGACGAUCCGCCACACUGGGACUGAGACACGGCCCAGACUCCUACGGGAGGCAGCAGUGGGGAAUUUUGGACAAUGGGGGAAACCCUGAUCCAGCCAUGCCGCGUGUAUGAAGAAGGCCUUAGGGUUGUAAAGUACUUUCGUUAGGGAAGAAAAGCUAGUUUUUAAUAAAAAUUAGUGAUGACGGUACCUAAAGAAUAAGCACCGGCUAACUACGUG
Molecule: ribosomal RNA, 493 nt
Filed under: uncultured bacterium
Lineage: Bacteria
Description: partial 16S ribosomal RNA
Rfam family: Bacterial small subunit ribosomal RNA
Source: RNAcentral